This 548-nucleotide ribosomal RNA is filed under the name Ovis aries (sheep). RNAcentral's name for it is "partial large subunit ribosomal RNA". It matches the Rfam family "Bacterial large subunit ribosomal RNA", at positions 1817 to 2597 of the family's 2925-position model. Lineage: Eukaryota; Metazoa; Chordata; Mammalia; Artiodactyla; Bovidae. The record is from RNAcentral.
CACCUCCAGCAUCCCUAGUAUUGGAGGCACUGCCUGCCCAGUGACUAAACGUUAAACGGCCGCGGUAUUCUGACCGUGCAAAGGUAGCAUAAUCAUUUGUUCUCUAAAUAAGGACUUGUAUGAAUGGCCACACGAGGGUUUUACUGUCUCUUACUUCCAAUCAGUGAAAUUGACCUCCCCGUGAAGAGGCGGGGAUAAAUCAACAAGGCGAGAAGACCCUAUGGAGCUUUAACUAAGUAACUCAAGGAAAAUAAAUUCAACCACCAAGGGAUAACAACACUCCUUAUGAGUUAACAGUUUCGGUUGGGGUGACCUCGGAGAACAGAAAAUCCUCCGAGCGAUUUUAAAGACUAGACUAACAAGUCAAACCAAACCAUCGCUUAUUGAUCCAAAAACUUGAUCAACGGAACAAGUUACCCUAGGGAUAACAGCGCAAUCCUAUUCAAGAGUCCAUAUCGACAAUAGGGUUUACGACCUCGAUGUUGGAUCAGGACAUCCCGAUGGUGCAACCGCUAUCAAAGGUUCGUUUGUUCAACGAUUAAAGUCCU